This is a long non-coding RNA of Populus nigra (black poplar), 712 nucleotides long. RefSeq lists it as uncharacterized. The record is from RefSeq and is a predicted model, not a curated record. The transcript is spliced from 2 exons. NCBI's taxonomy places the organism in Eukaryota, Viridiplantae, Streptophyta, Magnoliopsida, Malpighiales, Salicaceae.
UCAACAGGGAAAAUUCAGCAGAUCAUGGCCAGGGGAAGAUUUAGCAGAUCACGACCACUAUACCCACGAUGCCAUUCCUGAAGUCAUGAUCUCUCGCCUCCACGAUGCCCGUCAUUUCUGGAGGCCGGGACACAAGACCUUUUUUGGCUUUAUAAAAGCCAGAGAAAGGCCUCAGCAGGGAGGGGGGGGGGGGAGCACAAAGGAGGAAAAACAAAACAAAGAAAAAAGCACAAAUUCACAGACGAGCGGGAGAAGCAGGGAGUGAGAACCAGAGAAAAAAACGGAGAGGCAGAGCACGAACCGAAACAAACACAGGGGGGACGAGCUGGAGGACAUACAGAGAGAGAGUCAAGAGAACAGAGAGAACAGAACACAGCAAGGGGAACAGAAACAGAACAACAGAAAAAGAAAGAGCAACGAGCAGGAAGGAAGCUUGAAGACAGGAGCUUCGCCCAGCGUCUGCCGAUUCGUGCAAAGUCUCUGCAAAACCAGACAAAAAGAUAAGGAUUGUCACCAAGUCAAGAUAUGGCCACCCACUCAACAAUGAGUCAACUAAUCAAUAGCUAUAAAUUUUGGCCUAUAAAAUGAGGCAUCUGCCAUGUAUUUAGGCAUCUUGGUUUUCAAAUCAAGAUCAAGAUCAUGCUCUUGCUCUCUCUUUAUAUUUUGUAAUGCUUAAGUUUUGCUUAUAUUAAUCUCUUGCUUAUGCUUUUCA